Biomphalaria glabrata is the source of this 66-nucleotide non-coding RNA. The record is from Rfam. Lineage: Eukaryota; Metazoa; Mollusca; Gastropoda; Planorbidae.
UUCAAGGGAAGUCAUUCUGUCAGCAUGUUACAGAUUUAUCAUGAGACAGUGUGUCCUCCCUUGCUU